Molecule: ribosomal RNA, 402 nt
Filed under: bacterium
Lineage: Bacteria
Description: partial 16S ribosomal RNA
Rfam family: Bacterial small subunit ribosomal RNA
Source: RNAcentral
UGGGGAAUUUUGCACAAUGGGGGAAACCCUGAUGCAGCGACGCCGCGUGAUUUAGAAGGCCUUCGGGUUGUAAAAAUCUUUUCUAUGGGAAGAAAAUGACAGUACCAUAGGAAUAAGGACCGGCUAAUUACGUGCCAGCAGCCGCGGUAAUACGUAAGGUCCGAGCGUUGUCCGGAAUCAUUGGGCGUAAAGGGUACGUAGGCGGGUAAGCAAGUUAGAAGUGAAAUCCUAUAGCUCAACUAUAGUAAGCUUUUAAAACUGCUCAUCUUGAGGUAUGGAAGGGAAAGUGGAAUUCCUAGUGUAGCGGUGAAGUGCGCAGAUAUUAGGAGGAGUACCGGUGGCGAAGACGACUUUCUGGCCAUAACCUGACGCUGAGGUACGAAAGCGUGGGUAGCAAGCAGG